AGUGAACGCUGGCGGUAGGCCUAACACAUGCAAGUCGAACGGCAGCACAGUAAGAGCUUGCUCUUACGGGUGGCGAGUGGCGGACGGGUGAGGAAUACAUCGGAAUCUACUUUUUCGUGGGGGAUAACGUAGGGAAACUUACGCUAAUACCGCAUACGACCUACGGGUGAAAGCAGGGGAUCUUCGGACCUUGCGCGAUUGAAUGAGCCGAUGUCGGAUUAGCUAGUUGGCGGGGUAAAGGCCCACCAAGGCGACGAUCCGUAGCUGGUCUGAGAGGAUGAUCAGCCACACUGGAACUGAGACACGGUCCAGACUCCUACGGGAGGCAGCAGUGGGGAAUAUUGGACAAUGGGCGCAAGUCUGAUCCAGCCAUACCGCGUGGGUGAAGAAGGCCUUCGGGUUGUAAAGCCCUUUUGUUGGGAAAGAAAAGCAGCAGGUUAAUACCCCGCUGUUCUGACGGUACCCAAAGAAUAGGCACCGGCUAACUUCGUG
RNAcentral lists this ribosomal RNA (492 nucleotides) under uncultured bacterium. Its description in RNAcentral is "partial 16S ribosomal RNA". It matches the Rfam family "Bacterial small subunit ribosomal RNA", at positions 29 to 507 of the family's 1533-position model. The record is from RNAcentral.